GUUCCUGGCUGAGACCACACAAGGGGCCUGAAGGCGAGACACCCACCGAUGGGGGGCGCCACCAGCUGGACGGCCGCACAGAACUUCUGAACCAACUCCUGACUUGCCUGGCUGGCCGGUUCACCUCUUGUAAGAUUGAACAGUGACAGGAAGGAUCGCUACUCGGGAGUUAAUUCAAACCAGGAAGGAGGAGCUGCUGGUGAGAGAGCGGAUGGGGACUUGGGAGUUUCAGAGUGCCUCGGUAUCCCUGUGUGGUUCCUGCCACCUGUCAGCAUCUCUGCACGUGUCGUCUGCAUUGAAGUCUGUUCAUCAGCCUCUCCGGGGGUGAAGGUUAUCUCCUGGCACCUGACAGAUACCAGGGAGGGCAUAAACAGCUGGCCUUCUGGAGAUGACAAUCCAUUCCUCCACUGCUUGAAGGAGAAGAGAAGGAGCUGGGAUAGGCACAG
This 446-nucleotide long non-coding RNA is filed under the name Mustela putorius furo (domestic ferret). Its description in RNAcentral is "lncRNA (ENSMPUG00000028799.1)". The record is from RNAcentral. Lineage: Eukaryota; Metazoa; Chordata; Mammalia; Carnivora; Mustelidae.